AUCGCUUCUCAUGCCUUUUGGCUAAGAUCAAGUGUAGUAUCUGUUCUUAUCAGUUUAAUAUCGAUAGCGUCCCCUACCCGGGACCAUAUAUUAAAUUGAUUUUUGGAACUGAGGAGAUGGAAAAGGGCUUGCCCGUCCACUCCACGCAUCGACCUAUUUUACCUCCAGGACAUAGGGACCUGAG
The sequence is a small nuclear RNA, 184 nucleotides long. Its record names the gene U2. It matches the Rfam family "U2 spliceosomal RNA". Rfam says of the family: U2 is a small nuclear RNA (snRNA) component of the spliceosome (involved in pre-mRNA splicing). Complementary binding between U2 snRNA (in an area lying towards the 5' end but 3' to hairpin I) and the branchpoint sequence (BPS) of the intron results the bulging out of an unpaired adenosine, on the BPS, which initiates a nucleophilic attack at the intronic 5' splice site, thus starting the first of two transesterification reactions that mediate splicing. The record is from Ensembl.